RNAcentral lists this ribosomal RNA (370 nucleotides) under uncultured bacterium. RNAcentral's name for it is "bacterial SSU rRNA". It matches the Rfam family "Bacterial small subunit ribosomal RNA", at positions 28 to 396 of the family's 1533-position model. The record is from RNAcentral.
GACGAACGUUGGCGGCGUGCCUAAUACAUGCAAGUCAACUGAAAUACCGGUAGCAAUACUGGUAUGGAGGUGGCGCACGGGUGAGUAACACGUAGGUAAUCUGCCUUCAGGUCUGACAUAACCCAUCGAAAGGUGAGCUAAUAUCAGAUGAUGCAGCGGCUUGACAUCAAGACAGUUGUUAAAGCUUCGGCGCCUGAAGAUGAGCCUGCGUCUGAUUAGCUAGUUGGCGGGGUAACGGCCCACCAAGGCUGCGAUCAGUAGCUGGUCUGAGAGGAUGAUCAGUCACACUGGAACUGAGACACGGUCCAGACUCCUACGGGAGCAGCAGUAAGGAAUAUUGCUCAAUGGCCGAAAGGCUGAAGCAGCAACG